UACAGAGGUGGCAAGCGUUGUUCGGAAUUACUGGGCGUAAAGGGCGCGUAGGCGGCCUACUAAGUCAGACGUGAAAUCCCCCGGCUUAACCUGGGAACUGCGUCUGAUACCGGAAGGCUUGAGGAUGGGAGAGGGAUGUAGAAUUCCAGGUGUAGCGGUGAAAUGCGUAGAUAUCUGGAGGAACACCGAUUGCGAAGGCAGCUCGCUGGGACGUCACUGACGCUGAGACGCGAAAGCGUGGGGAGCAAACAGG
RNAcentral lists this ribosomal RNA (253 nucleotides) under uncultured bacterium. RNAcentral's name for it is "partial 16S ribosomal RNA". It matches the Rfam family "Bacterial small subunit ribosomal RNA", at positions 524 to 776 of the family's 1533-position model. The record is from RNAcentral.